GUAGCAUUUCCAUGUUGAAGGGUGCACCCUGCAGAAAAAUUAUGUGACUAUAUAGAUACAGGCACAUUCAAGGAGGUACAUGUUCGCUGCGGCGUUGUUCACCGUGGUGAAAAGUGGGGAUAACUCUCUUGAGUGGCGUGGACAGGUGCAUUCAUGCUUUCCACGUGCUGUCUGCUCCCGUCGCAGUGCUGCUCCCGUCUCCUUACCCUAAGCAAAGGUGCAGACCAACGACAGAAAUGCCACCCACCCCGAAAGGAGGGAAGGCUCCGGGGCCAGCAGCUCCGUGUGACGGUGCCUCGUGACACAGCUGUUCGCUGUGGUUGAGCAACGGAGUCGGCCUAGGCCCCGGCGGCAGACAAACAGUUGAAGAAAAUGUGGUAUGCCCCACAGUGGAGUAUUACUCUGCCGUAAAGAAGAAAACCGUGUCAUUCGCAGCAAAGUGGAUGGAACUGGGAGGCACUGUGUGCAGCGAAGCAAGCCAGACGCAGAAACACCAGCAGCGCAGCUCUGAGAGUGGUGAUUUCUGGAGGUGGGGGAGGGUGCGGGGGCACAGACAAGGGCUGCAUGAGUCCAAGAGGACCAACCCGUGGGAGCGCCACCCUGGGGUCCACCGCUGAGCACAGCUGACGUGUCAGUAAAGGCGAUGAUUUCAAACGAGGGGGAAGUACCCGGAGGCCGUGGAGCUGGGUGUGUGCUCAGCAGAGGCACAUGCGCCCCACGGACAGAAGGCCCUGGGUUCUGCUCCCGGCGCCACGACAAAACAGAGGCUAAAAAAGGAGCACUUGACUCUCCUGAGCUGUUUCUGAGGAAAGACACCGACCCAGCCUUCCGGGCUUCCGCCUCCCGCUCGAUUCCUAUGACUCCUGCUGCUGCCUCUCACGCUCCUGUCUUCUCCCAGGAACCAAACAUAAUCUGCAUCUCAGGCCUUUUUCUGGCCUCCCUGUGGUGUGGGAGGACUCCUCCGGGGAUGGCUCUGGCUCUGAUCGGCUCCGGCUGUGAUGGCGAAGCCAGGUCUCAGGUCCACAUCCUGUCCCCACCUCCCUCUCCUUCUACAGGUCAGCAGGUCCCCCACCCCCUGGACCUCCUCUCCCCAGGCCUCAGCAAGACCCCCAGGAAGCCCUCUGGGUCUGCAGCCUCCACUUACCUGGCUCUGGCUUUGCAAGAAGGGGGCCUUUGCACAGAAGCGGACAGCUGGGCACCAGUCUGGGGGCCACCUCUGGUGGCCGCAUCACAGGACAAGGGGACCACAGGAAAGAGGGAAGCGAGACCCACACCCUUCCGCUCAGGAGACCCAGGCCCAGCUCCUGGCUCAAAGACGAGAGUUUUUAAAACUGUGUGCAGAGAAGGGCUGCAGAUGGGACUGAAAACCAACCCAAACGGACCUGAAGACUGUGCAAGGAGAGAGCUUCCAUCUCGCGUCCUACAGGGGAGCCGACCCUCGGCUUUGGGGUCCAUGGGGAGGAAGUGGGGCGUAGCGGGGCAGUGUUCAAGGACAAAUCCGGCUUCAGGCAGGGUCACCGGGGACAGACAGCAGAUAGUGGCACGGAGAGUCCAGAGGAGCGACCGGGUUCCAAGGGAUCACCAACGAGCGUUCUCUCCUCACGGGACUCAGUCUGCGUAG
This is a long non-coding RNA of Fukomys damarensis (Damara mole-rat), 1621 nucleotides long. The record is from Ensembl. Lineage: Eukaryota; Metazoa; Chordata; Mammalia; Rodentia; Bathyergidae.